This 753-nucleotide ribosomal RNA is filed under the name uncultured bacterium. RNAcentral's name for it is "bacterial SSU rRNA". It matches the Rfam family "Bacterial small subunit ribosomal RNA", at positions 28 to 776 of the family's 1533-position model. The record is from RNAcentral.
GAUGAACGCUAGCGGCAGGCUUAACACAUGCAAGUCGAGGGGUAACGUGAGUGCUUGCACUUGACGACGACCGGCGAACGGGUGCGUAACGCGUAUAGAAUCUGCCUUGUACAGGAGGAUAGCCCAGAGAAAUUUGGAUUAAUACUCCAUAAUGUUAUGUAGUGGCAUCAUUAUUUAAUUAAAGAUUUAUUGGUACAAGAUGACUAUGCGUCCUAUUAGUUAGAUGGUAAGGUAACGGCUUACCAUGGCAUCGAUAGGUAGGGGGUCUGAGAGGAUUAUCCCCCACACUGGUACUGAGACACGGACCAGACUCCUACGGGAGGCAGCAGUGAGGAAUAUUGGACAAUGGGCGAGAGCCUGAUCCAGCCAUGCCGCGUGCAGGAAGACUGCCCUAUGGGUUGUAAACUGCUUUUAUACAGGAAGAAACCUACUUACGUGUAAGUAGCUGACGGUACUGUAAGAAUAAGCACCGGCUAACUCCGUGCCAGCAGCCGCGGUAAUACGGAGGGUGCAAGCGUUAUCCGGAAUCAUUGGGUUUAAAGGGUCCGCAGGCGGUCAAUUAAGUCAGAGGUGAAAUCUCACAGCUUAACUGUGAAACUGCCUUUGAUACUGGUUGACUUGAGUCAUAUGGAAGUAGAUAGAAUAAGUAGUGUAGCGGUGAAAUGCAUAGAUAUUACUUAGAAUACCGAUUGCGAAGGCAGUCUACUACGUAUGUACUGACGCUCAUGGACGAAAGCGUGGGGAGCGAACAGG